GGGUGCGGGGCUAUAAUGCAGUCGAGCGAACAGAUGAGAAGCUUGCUUCUCUGAUGUUAGCGGCGGACGGGUGAGUAACACGUGGGUAACCUACCUAUAAGACUGGGAUAACUCCGGGAAACCGGGGCUAAUACCGGAUAAUAUUUUGAACCGCAUGGUUCAAUAGUGAAAGACGGUUUCGGCUGUCACUUAUAGAUGGACCCGCGCCGUAUUAGCUAGUUGGUAAGGUAAUGGCUUACCAAGGCGACGAUACGUAGCCGACCUGAGAGGGUGAUCGGCCACACUGGAACUGAGACACGGUCCAGACUCCUACGGGAGGCAGCAGUAGGGAAUCUUCCGCAAUGGGCGAAAGCCUGACGGAGCAACGCCGCGUGAGUGAUGAAGGUCUUCGGAUCGUAAAACUCUGUUGUUAGGGAAGAACAAAUUUGUUAGUAACUGAACAAGUCUUGACGGUACCUAACCAGAAAGCCACGGCUAACUACGUGCCAGCAGCCGCGGUAAUACGUAGGUGGCAAGCGUUAUCCGGAAUUAUUGGGCGUAAAGCGCGCGUAGGCGGUUUCUUAAGUCUGAUGUGAAAGCCCACGGCUCAACCGUGGAGGGUCAUUGGAAACUGGGAAACUUGAGUGCAGAAGAGGAGAGUGGAAUUCCAUGUGUAGCGGUGAAAUGCGCAGAGAUAUGGAGGAACACCAGUGGCGAAGGCGGCUCUCUGGUCUGUAACUGACGCUGAUGUGCGAAAGCGUGGGGAUCAAACAGGAUUAGAUACCCUGGUAGUCCACGCCGUAAACGAUGAGUGCUAAGUGUUAGGGGGUUUCCGCCCCUUAGUGCUGCAGCUAACGCAUUAAGCACUCCGCCUGGGGAGUACGACCGCAAGGUUGAAACUCAAAGGAAUUGACGGGGACCCGCACAAGCGGUGGAGCAUGUGGUUUAAUUCGAAGCAACGCGAAGAACCUUACCAAAUCUUGACAUCCUUUGACCGCUCUAGAGAUAGAGUCUUCCCCUUCGGGGGACAAAGUGACAGGUGGUGCAUGGUUGUCGUCAGCUCGUGUCGUGAGAUGUUGGGUUAAGUCCCGCAACGAGCGCAACCCUUAAGCUUAGUUGCCAUCAUUAAGUUGGGCACUCUAGGUUGACUGCCGGUGACAAACCGGAGGAAGGUGGGGAUGACGUCAAAUCAUCAUGCCCCUUAUGAUUUGGGCUACACACGUGCUACAAUGGAUAAUACAAAGGGCAGCGAAUCCGCGAGGCCAAGCAAAUCCCAUAAAAUUAUUCUCAGUUCGGAUUGUAGUCUGCAACUCGACUACAUGAAGCUGGAAUCGCUAGUAAUCGUAGAUCAGCAUGCUACGGUGAAUACGUUCCCGGGUCUUGUACACACCGCCCGUCACACCACGAGAGUUUGUAACACCCGAAGCCGGUGGAGUAACCUUUUAGGAGCUAGCCGUCGAAGGG
This 1443-nucleotide ribosomal RNA is filed under the name bacterium. Its description in RNAcentral is "bacterial SSU rRNA". It matches the Rfam family "Bacterial small subunit ribosomal RNA". The record is from RNAcentral.